RNAcentral lists this long non-coding RNA (1131 nucleotides) under Macaca fascicularis (crab-eating macaque). RNAcentral describes it as "lncRNA (ENSMFAG00000051268.1)". The record is from RNAcentral. Lineage: Eukaryota; Metazoa; Chordata; Mammalia; Primates; Cercopithecidae.
UUUUUUUUCUUUAAAAGCAAUUUAUUUCUCAUUACAAAAUACAGGUGAGGAGCAUGGCGAUGCCUAUGGCCCCUUGGUUGUACAUCUUCCCAGUCUAUUUCUGCUUCUAGAAAUACCCUGUGUACAACAGCAAGCUCAUGCUGUUCCCAAGUGCUUGCACAUUCUAACAGCUGCAGAGUAUAUGACCAGGUGGAAAGUCCAACAGAUGCCCCACUCACAAGGUAGGGCCCUGCAGCCCAUCUUCUGGUUCCCUUUUGCUAACAGUAACUGGUUGCUCUUCCUAUUGGUCAUAGAUUAAUGACAGCUGCACAAUUCUCUGAGUGCUUUCAAGCAACCUCGGGAGGCAGUGACUAAGACCCUUUCCUUGCUCCCAGCUUCCUAUGUUCCUGGCCGCCUGUGGCACCUGGACUACUGCUGCCCCUGGGUCCCUCACAUUCCAGGGCGACGAUGGAGGAAGGGCAGGCCACACAUGAGGAAUUAACAGUCUUUAUUGGGCUCAGACCAGGAGUCCGUGGGUCUUGAGGACCUGUGUGUAUUUGUCAAUUUUCUUCUCCACGUUCUUCUCGGCCUGUUUCCGUAGCCUCAUGAGCUGCUUCUUCUUCUGGUAGUGGAUCUUGGCUUUCUCUUUCCUCUUCUCCUCCAGGGUGGCUGUCACUGCCUGGUACUUCCAGCCAACCUCGUGAGCCAGGCGCCCCAGAUAGGCAAACUUUCUUGUAGGCUUCAGACUCACGACCUUGAGGGCAGCAGGAACCACCAUCCGCUUUUUCUUGUUGUAGGGCGGUGGGAUGCCAUCAAACACCUUGAGGCGGUCCAGGGCAGCCUGGCCUCGCUUGGUCUUGUGAGGCAGCAUGCCUCACACCGUCCGCCAGAAGAUGCGGCUGGGGGCCCAGAAGUGGUAAGGGCCUCGGGAAGGGUUGGUGUUCAUCCACUUGUGGAGGAAAACCAGGUACUUCAACUUGUUUCUGUAGAAAUUGCCAGAAAAGUUGAUGCCUUCGCAGUGUACGACCACCACCUUCCAGCCCAGCAGUACCUGUUUAGUCACGAUGACUGCCAGGGGGCCCAGGAGAUGGCCUCGACCAUGGAGCACCAGGACCUGCACCUCCGCCAUCUUCGGCAGCCGCCUGGGAAAGC